This 267-nucleotide unclassified non-coding RNA is filed under the name Hevea brasiliensis (rubber tree). The record is from RNAcentral. Lineage: Eukaryota; Viridiplantae; Streptophyta; Magnoliopsida; Malpighiales; Euphorbiaceae.
AGAUUGGACUUUGUUCUUCAAUACUCUUUUCUGGAACUUGAAUUUUUGGGACAGUGUCAGCACUCUAGCUGGAGAAGUAGAUAAACCUCAGAAAACAUUCCCUGUGGCUCUAUUUGUAGCUGUGAUCUUCACUUGCGUUUCUUACUUGAUUCCUCUCUUCGCGGUGAUUGGAGCUGUUUCUGUGAAUCAAAAUGAAUGGGAGUCAGGGUUCCAUGCCACUGCAGCAGAAAUUAUUGCAGGGAAAUGGCUAAAAUAUUGGAUUGAAGU